This 1239-nucleotide ribosomal RNA is filed under the name Triticum aestivum (bread wheat). RNAcentral describes it as "partial small subunit ribosomal RNA". The record is from RNAcentral. Lineage: Eukaryota; Viridiplantae; Streptophyta; Magnoliopsida; Poales; Poaceae.
AUGGCGGCCAUGGCCAUGAACCCCACCUCGCCGGCCCCAUCCGCGAAGCUCCGGACGCCUCCGUACCACCACCCCUCCCCCGCGGCUGAGGAGGAGCCCAUGGCGACGCCGCCGCCGAAGCCGACGGGCCAGAGGUCGCCCAUGCCGUCGCCGCUGCAGCUUUCCGGCGGGUACUCGCUCCACGAGCUGCUCCUGCUGUCCCCGUCCCCGACCUCCCGCCGCACCCGCUCGGGCCAGCGGGGCGCGGCCGGGGCAGGCGGCGUGGAUUCGAGCCUGGAGAUGGCGGGGACGCCUCCCAUGCGGCGGCGCGCGACGCCCGCGGGGGCCUCGCCGAGGAACGCGAGGCGGGCGAGGCGGAGGCUGGAGAAGGAGGCCGAGCCGGAGGAGGAAGCCAUUAGGAAGGCGCGCAGGAGGAGGUCCUCCAGGGUGGCCUCCAAGGUCGCGGCCGCGGUGGCUGUGGACAAGGCGGUGGCGGCGGCGGCCGCCGCCCCAGGGAAGGAGGACGACAUGAGUUUGGCCUUGGUUCCUGCUCCUGCCGAUGCCACUCAUGUCACAGAAACUGACGCUCUGGAGCAGUCCGGAUGGGAAAGUCUCUGGGAAAGGGUCGUCGAGCUAGUGGUGUGGAAGGACGUGGCGAAAUCAGCACUCUGGUUCGGGCUGGGAUCCAUGUUCUUCUUAUCUUUCUCCUUUUCAAGAGAGAUCACUUUCAGCCCAAUUUCUGUAUUUUGUCAGCUGGGCGUUAUCAUUUUGGGUCUAGCCUUCUUUAAGGAUUCUGUGCCACAGAGGCAGCCGGUGAGGGAAACGAACUUCCAGUUGACUGAAAAAGAUGUGAUUCGUGCUGCCGGAGCUGUGUUGCCGAUUGCUAACUCCAUCAUAUCCACGGCACAAGUGAUCUUCUCGGGCAACCCAUCGAUGACUCUCAAAGUAUUGCCUGUUCUUCUGUUCGGCGCAAAAUACGGUAGUCUGAUUACGGUAUGGAGGCUUCUAGCCACAGGUUUCUUCACCAGUUUUACACUCCCAAAGCUUUAUAUCUGCUAUUCAACUCAAAUUCAUGUGAUAGCUGAGAAUUUGAUAGACCGGGCUCUAGAAGCAUGGAAGGCUUGCCCCCGCAAGAAAUUCGUUGCGGGUACAGCAGUGACAGUUUGCUGGAAUUUGUUUAGUGUUAAGACACGCUUCGUGGCAGCCUUCAUUUCAGUAGUGAUACUGCGGUACAAUCAUCAGACCGCAGGGCUGGUGUGA